CCUACGGGUGGCUGCAGUGAGGAAUAUUGGUCAAUGGACGAGAGUCUGAACCAGCCAAGUAGCGUGAAGGAUGACUGCCCUAUGGGUUGUAAACUUCUUUUAUAUGGGAAUAAAAUGUUCCAAGUGUGGGAUCUUGUAUGUACCAUAUGAAUAAGGAUCGGCUAACUACGUACCAGCAGACGCGGUAAUACGGAGGAUCCGAGCGUUGUCCGGAUUUGUUGGGUUUAAAGGGAGCGUAGGUGGUUUGUUAAGUUAGUUGUGAAAGUUUGCGGCUCAACCGGAAAAUUGCAGUUGAAACUGGGAGUCUUGAGGACAGUAGAGGUGGGCGGAAUUCGUGGUGUAGCGGUGAAAUGCUUAGAUAUCACGAAGAACUCCGAUUGCGAAGGCAGCUCACUGGACUGCAACUGACACUGAGGCUCGAAAGUGUGGGUAUCAAACAGGAUUAGAUACCCUGGUAGUC
Molecule: ribosomal RNA, 460 nt
Filed under: uncultured bacterium
Lineage: Bacteria
Description: partial 16S ribosomal RNA
Rfam family: Bacterial small subunit ribosomal RNA
Source: RNAcentral